GGUCUCUCCCCGCCUACAUUAGAGUGACGACGGUGGAAGAGUGAACUUCGAGGAAGACGCUACGGUCGCUUUUUUUCCUGAGCUAAUUGGCUACAAACCAACAAAUUCGAGCAUUUUGAGUUUCUCUGACAGCUUUUCGUCUUUUGAUAUACUUCUGGGGGGCAACAAUUUCCCACAGCGUUUGCCCUUUGAAUCGACUUCAACAGAAAGAAGACCUUCUAGUUACAGUCGAACUGGUAAGACAAACAUCGCCGUUGGCUUUAUUUUAUUUCUAAGUUAGAGUUACACGAAACGGUUUCAGAUUAAAAACAAACAAACAAAAAAGGUUGUGACUAAUGCAAAUUGAGUGAUGUGGAUAAGUUAUUAUUUGCGAAUGUUGCUCAACGAUGGAGACGCGUUAGCUCAGGGUUACGUCAACCUGGAACUUUCCAGUUCAAGCCGGUUUAGCCGGUGAGGUUACACAACACUGCUUUGCUCACUAGGGGCAGCAGAGUGGUUAUGCAACGGUUAUGCUGUCUUUUAAUAGACUUUAACCGCUGACACACGUUUCUAACACAGAAUGUAACUUAAAGUAUUCCUUUUAUAAGCUGUUUAAUGUUCAGGGAGCAGUUUUUAGUUUUAGCUUGCCUUGAAAUGUGAUUUACCAGUAGUCUGCAGUCGCGUUUUGCUCUAGGGAUCUUUCUCUCUAGGUCAUUGAGAAAGUGGUGGUAAUGCCACAUUAAAAAGACUUCGUUCCAGUAAAGUAUUUAAAAUUACUGAGGCGUGUUGAUCACUUAACACUAGAUGUACUAAACCUGCACAAAUUUGCGUAACUUCCCUCAAUCCAACACCUACUAGAAUUACUGGCUUUUUUAUUUUCUGGUGCAAGUUCUGAGGUGUAAAUCACCCCUGCUGAGAUUUUCACAGGUCGUCAGCUCGUUUCUCCUCCAGCUUUUGUUGUGCCAACCACCCAUUAUCCUUGAGGUCUGCAAUGUGCCAGGCCUCAAGGAUAAUGGAUAAUGCAUUUGUUUACUCAGAGUAGCUCAGAUCCAAGACAGGCCAAACCUCUGUGUUACAACCGUCACAAAUGUCUAUAAAAUAUCCCACACAUUGACUGAUCUGCAAUUAUGAAAGGCACACAUUCACACCUUCCCUGACUCUCAGCACAGAUCUUCCAUUAUUCCAUUGUGACUGUGUAUGUGUAUGACUGGCAUUGCAUUACUACAGCACAGCGCUGUGCAUAAAUGCAGACCGACCAGGCCAUCCUGAGACGGAACAAGAAACCAACAUGCCUCCACGGAAGAGGAAUAUGUCCACAGUGCAUCUCCUUACUUGGGAAAGGACCCCAGUGAUCAGAAGGGAGAGAGGCUGGCAGAGAACGUGGUCAUGAAACUGUUUUUGUUUGAUGGGAGAAAUGUCACAAUGGACAAUUUCUUUACUUCACUGUCACUGUCGCACAGACUGCUGCAACGCAAAACGACGUUAAGGGGCACAGUGAAUAAAGUCUGGCGUGAACUUCCUCAACUUGCGCGGAUGUAUUCCGUAAGAGCAGCAACACGCAGGUGGCCAGUAGCGGUUUUCUGCAAUAUACUGGACCUGGCGGUGGUGAAUGCCUACAUUUUGUACAAGGCAUGUACAGGGUGGUCAGGCAAAAGAAGAUUGUUUCUGAGUCUUCUAGCUCAGGAACUUCGUUGCCGAUUCAUACAGCACAAGGAAAUAUUAGCACAGAGGCAAGCUGCUGCAGCUGCUGUGCCAGGGACUGUAAAGACAACGCAGUGCCAGGUGCAAGAGAGCCGCAACGGGAAUCGCAGCAGGUUUACCUGUGCAACAUGUCAGAAAUUCACCUGUGCCAAAUGCAGGGAUGAUGGACACUGGGUCUGCAAACGCUGUAAAGUUUGAAACACUGAAAUAAAACAGACUUGUGUACCCAUAUAUUGUGAAUGUCUGUCUUUUGUAUCGAUUUGGUAGGAAUUUCUGAAGGUUGUAACAGAGGUUUGGCCUUGGAUCGGAGUAAACAAAUGGCAAUGUUGCGCACGCAGCAAAUCGACAUUAGUCCCACAAGUGGAAAAUCUGCAUUGUUAUUGCAGAAAAGUGGACAG
Long non-coding RNA from Astatotilapia calliptera (eastern happy), 2078 nucleotides. The record is from Ensembl. NCBI's taxonomy places the organism in Eukaryota, Metazoa, Chordata, Actinopteri, Cichliformes, Cichlidae.